This 253-nucleotide unclassified non-coding RNA is filed under the name uncultured Pseudomonadaceae bacterium. Its description in RNAcentral is "contains 16S-23S intergenic spacer region". It matches the Rfam family "Bacterial small subunit ribosomal RNA", at positions 524 to 776 of the family's 1533-position model. Lineage: Bacteria; Pseudomonadati; Pseudomonadota; Gammaproteobacteria; Pseudomonadales; Pseudomonadaceae. The record is from RNAcentral.
UACUGAGGGUGGAAGGGUUAGUCGGAAGUACUGGGCGUAAUGCGCGCGUAGGUGGUGGGUUAAGUUGGAUGUGAAAGCCCCGGGCUCAACCUGGGAACUGCAUCGAAAACUGGCCGACUAGAGUACAGUAGAGGGUGGUGGAAUUUCCUGUGUAGCGGUGAAAUGCGUAGAUAUAGGAAGGAACACCAGUGGCGAAGGCGACCACCUGGACUGAUACUGACACUGAGGUGCGAAAGCGUGGGGAGCAAACAGG